UAUUAUAUGGUUUAUGUGUGCAUUCUAUGCUUUAUUAUGGAUUGGAUGUCAAUUACCACAAGAUAUAUUC
This 70-nucleotide small RNA is filed under the name Plasmodium falciparum 3D7. RNAcentral describes it as "Pfa-mtR6571". Lineage: Eukaryota; Apicomplexa; Aconoidasida; Haemosporida; Plasmodiidae. The record is from RNAcentral.